This 375-nucleotide unclassified non-coding RNA is filed under the name soil metagenome. RNAcentral describes it as "partial contains 5.8S ribosomal RNA, internal transcribed spacer 2, and large subunit ribosomal RNA". The stretch from base 1 to 120 matches the Rfam family "5.8S ribosomal RNA", at positions 35 to 154 of the family's 154-position model. The record is from RNAcentral.
GAUGAAGAACGUAGCGAAAUGCGAUAAGUAAUGUGAAUUGCAGAAUUCAGUGAAUCAUCGAAUCUUUGAACGCACCUUGCGCCCCUUGGCAUUCCGAGGGGCACGCCUGUUUGAGUGUCGUGAACUCCUCCACCCUCCACCUUUUUCGGAAGGCGUUGGGCUGGGAUUUGGGAGCUUGCGGGUCCCUGGCCGAUCCGCUCUCCUUGAAUACAUUAGUGAAGCCCUUGCGGCCUUGGUGUGAUAGUCAUCUACGCCUCGGUUUAGCGAGCAUACGGGAAUCGCUUCCAACCGUCUCGCAAGAGACAAUCACUUCAAACUUGACCUCAAAUCAGGCGGGACUACCCGCUGAACUUAAGCAUAUCAAUAAGCGGAGGA